GUCCACGCCGUAAACGAUGAAUACUAGGUGUAGGGGUUGUCAUGACCUCUGUGCCGCCGCUAACGCAUUAAGUAUUCCGCCUGGGGAGUACGGUCGCAAGAUUAAAACUCAAAGGAAUUGACGGGGCCCGCACAAGCAGCGGAGCAUGUGGUUUAAUUCGAAGCAACGCGAAGAACCUUACCUAGACUUGACAUCUCCUGCAUUACCCUUAAUCGGGGGAAUUCCUUCGGGAACAGGAAGACAGGUGGUGCAUGGUUGUCGU
RNAcentral lists this ribosomal RNA (262 nucleotides) under uncultured bacterium. Its description in RNAcentral is "partial 16S ribosomal RNA". It matches the Rfam family "Bacterial small subunit ribosomal RNA", at positions 793 to 1055 of the family's 1533-position model. The record is from RNAcentral.